This 429-nucleotide ribosomal RNA is filed under the name bacterium. Its description in RNAcentral is "partial 16S ribosomal RNA". It matches the Rfam family "Bacterial small subunit ribosomal RNA", at positions 355 to 776 of the family's 1533-position model. The record is from RNAcentral.
UAGGGAAUCUUCCACAAUGGACGCAAGUCUGAUGGAGCAACGCCGCGUGAGUGAAGAAGGUUUUCGGACCGUAAAGCUCUGUUGUUGGUGAAGAAGGAUAGAGGUAGUAACUGGCAUUUAUUUGACGGUAAUCAACCAGAAAGUCACGGCUAACUACGUGCCAGCAGCCGCGGUAAUACGUAGGUGGCAAGCGUUGUCCGGAUUUAUUGGGCGUAAAGCGAGCGCAGGCGGAAGAAUAAGUCUGAUGUGAAAGCCCUCGGCUUAACCGAGGAACUGCAUCGGAAACUGUUUUUCUUGAGUGCAGAAGAGGAGAGUGGAAUUCCAUGUGUAGCGGUAGAAUGCGUAGAUAUAUGGAAGAACACCAGUGGCGAAGGCGACUCUCUGGUCUGCAACUGACGCUGAGGCUCGAAAGCAUGGGUAGCGAACAGG